Molecule: ribosomal RNA, 460 nt
Filed under: uncultured bacterium
Lineage: Bacteria
Description: partial 16S ribosomal RNA
Rfam family: Bacterial small subunit ribosomal RNA
Source: RNAcentral
CCUACGGGCGACAGCAGUGAGGAAUAUUGGUCAAUGGACGAGAGUCUGAACCAGCCAAGUAGCGUGAAGGAUGACUGCCCUAUGGGUUGUAAACUUCUUUUAUAUGGGAAUAAAAUGUUCCACGUGUGGGAUUUUGUAUGUACCAUAUGAAUAAGGAUCGGCUAACUCCGUGCCAGCAGCCGCGGUAAUACGGAGGAUCCGAGCGUUAUCCGGAUUUAUUGGGUUUAAAGGGAGCGUAGGUGGAUUGUUAAGUCAGUUGUGAAAGUUUGCGGCUCAACCGUAAAAUUGCAGUUGAAACUGGCAGUCUUGAGUACAGUAGAGGUGGGCGGAAGUCGUGGUGUAGCGGUGAAAUGCUUAGAUAUCACGAAGAACUCCGAUUGCGAAGGCAGUUCACUGGACUGCAACUGACACUGAGGCUCGAAAGUGUGGGUAUCAAACAGGAUUAGAUACCCCGGUAGUC